RNAcentral lists this ribosomal RNA (659 nucleotides) under uncultured bacterium. Its description in RNAcentral is "bacterial SSU rRNA". It matches the Rfam family "Bacterial small subunit ribosomal RNA", at positions 94 to 788 of the family's 1533-position model. The record is from RNAcentral.
AGUGGCGGACGGGUGAGUAACGCGUGAGAAUCUGCCUUGGGGUCGGGGACAACCACUGGAAACGGUGGCUAAUACCGGAUAAGCCGAUUGGUGAAAGAUUUAUUGCCCGAAGAGGAGCUCGCGUCUGAUUAGCUAGUUGGUGAGGUAAGAGCUCACCAAGGCAGCGAUCAGUAGCUGGUCUGAGAGGACGAUCAGCCACACUGGGACUGAGACACGGCCCAGACUCCUACGGGAGGCAGCAGUGGGGAAUUUUCCGCAAUGGGCGAAAGCCUGACGGAGCAAGACCGCGUGAGGGAGGAAGGCUCUUGGGUUGUAAACCUCUUUUCUCAGGGAAGAAGCUCUGACGGUACCUGAGGAAUCAGCCUCGGCUAACUCCGUGCCAGCAGCCGCGGUAAUACGGAGGAGGCAAGCGUUAUCCGGAAUUAUUGGGCGUAAAGCGUCCGCAGGUGGCGAUUCAAGUCGCUGUCAAAGCACGGGGCUUAACUCCGUAAAGGCAGUGGAAACUGAAUAGCUAGAGUGCCGUAGGGGUAGAGGGAAUUCCCGGUGUAGCGGUGAAAUGCGUAGAGAUCGGGAAGAACAUCGGUGGCGAAAGCGCUCUACUGGACGGCAACUGACACUCAGGGACGAAAGCUAGGGGAGCGAAUGGGAUUAGAUACCCC